RNAcentral lists this ribosomal RNA (449 nucleotides) under uncultured bacterium. RNAcentral describes it as "partial 16S ribosomal RNA". It matches the Rfam family "Bacterial small subunit ribosomal RNA", at positions 29 to 523 of the family's 1533-position model. The record is from RNAcentral.
AGCGAACGCUGGCGGCAGGCCUAACACAUGCAAGUCGAACGAAGCCUUCGGUCUUAGUGGCGGACGGGUGAGUAACACGUGGGAACGUACCUUUAGGUUCGGAACAACUCAGGGAAACUUGAGCUAAUACCGGAUAAGCCCUUCGGGGGAAAGAUUUAUCGCCUUUAGAGCGGCCCGCGUUAGAUUAGCUAGUUGGUGAGGUAAAGGCUCACCAAGGCUACGAUCUAUAGCUGGUCUGAGAGGAUGAUCAGCCACACUGGGACUGAGACACGGCCCAGACUCCUACGGGAGGCAGCAGUGGGGAAUCUUGCGCAAUGGGCGAAAGCCUGACGCAGCCAUGCCGCGUGAAUGAUGAAGGUCUUAGGAUUGUAAAAUUCUUUUACCAGGGACGAUAAUGACGGUACCUGGAGAAAAAGCCCCGGCUAACUUCGUGCCAGCAGCCGCCGUAA